ACGGAAGGCAGCAGUGGGGAAUAUUGCACAAUGGGGGAAACCCUGAUGCAGCGACGCCGCGUGAGUGAAGAAGUAUUUCGGUAUGUAAAGCUCUAUCAGCAGGAAAGAAAAUGACGGUACCUGACUAAGAAGCCCCGGCUAACUACGUGCCAGCAGCCGCGGUAAUACGUAGGGGGCAAGCGUUAUCCGGAUUUACUGGGUGUAAAGGGAGCGUAGACGGCUUUGCAAGUCUGAAGUGAAAGCCCGGGGCUCAACCCCGGAACUGCUUUGGAAACUGUAGAGCUAGAGUGCAGGAGAGGUAAGUGGAGUUCCUAGUGUAGCGGUGAAAUGCGUAGAUAUUAGGAGGAACACCAGUGGCGAAGGCGGCUUACUGGACUGUAACUGACGUUGAGGCUCGAAGGCGUGGGGAGCAAACAGGAUUAGAUACCCUGGUA
RNAcentral lists this ribosomal RNA (434 nucleotides) under uncultured Lachnospiraceae bacterium. RNAcentral's name for it is "partial 16S ribosomal RNA". It matches the Rfam family "Bacterial small subunit ribosomal RNA", at positions 341 to 792 of the family's 1533-position model. Lineage: Bacteria; Bacillati; Bacillota; Clostridia; Lachnospirales; Lachnospiraceae. The record is from RNAcentral.